This 134-nucleotide small nucleolar RNA is filed under the name Castor canadensis (American beaver). Its description in RNAcentral is "Small nucleolar RNA SNORA38 (ENSCCNG00000004087.1)". It matches the Rfam family "Small nucleolar RNA SNORA38". Rfam says of the family: ACA38 is a member of the H/ACA class of snoRNA that guide the sites of modification of uridines to pseudouridines. The record is from Rfam by way of RNAcentral. Lineage: Eukaryota; Metazoa; Chordata; Mammalia; Rodentia; Castoridae.
CACUCUCAUAAAGGCAUGUCUUUGGUUCCCUAUCUUUGGACAUGUAAGAAUUAGAGGCAAAGAAAUGUGGAUUUUUGGAGAAAUCUGAAGUCAGUUUGCUGACCCUCAGGCUCAAGAUCGACAGUACAACAUAA